This 464-nucleotide ribosomal RNA is filed under the name uncultured bacterium. RNAcentral describes it as "partial 16S ribosomal RNA". It matches the Rfam family "Bacterial small subunit ribosomal RNA", at positions 339 to 795 of the family's 1533-position model. The record is from RNAcentral.
CUACGGGAGGCUGCAGUCGAGAAUCUUUUGCAAUGCGCGAAAGCGUGACAAUGCGACGCCGCGUGAGCGAUGAAGCCCUUCGGGGUGUAAAGCUCUGUCAGCCCGGAUGAAUAUUCGUUUUUGAAUAGGGAACGAAGACGACAGUACGGGCAGAGGAAGCCACGGCUAAUGCCGUGCCAGCAGCCGCGGUAAUACGGAGGUGGCAAGCGUUGUUCGGAUUUAUUGGGUGUAAAGGGUAUGUAGGUUUCCUGAUUAGUCGAAUGUGAAAUCCCUUGGCUUAACCAAGGAACUGCAUUCGAAACUGUCAGGAUUGAGUAUGGAAGAGGAGAGCGGAAUUCCCGGUGUAAGGGUGGAAUCUGUAGGGAUCGGGAGGAACACCAGUGGCGAAAGCGGCUCUCUGGUCCAAUACUGACACUGAAAUACGAAAGCAAGGGGAGCAAACAGGAUUAGAUACCCCCGUAGUC